CCUACGGGAGGCAGCAGUGAGGAAUAUUGGUCAAUGGUCGAGAGACUGAACCAGCCAAGUAGCGUGAAGGAUGACUGUCCAAUGGGUUGUAAACUUCUUUUGUCAAGGAAUAAAACGAGGCACGUGUGCCUUGUUGCAUGUACCUUAUGAAUAAGGAUCGGCUAACUCCGUGCCAGCAGCCGCGGUAAUACGGAGGAUCCGAGCGUUAUCCGGAUUUAUUGGGUUUAAAGGGUGCGUAGGCGGGCUUUUUAGUCAGCGGGUAAAGUCUGGGGCUCAAACGCAGACUGGCCGUUGAAACUGGCAGGCGCGAGUUGGUGAGAGGCAGGCGGAAUGCGUGGUGUAGCGGUGAAAUGCUUAGAUAUCGCGCAGAACUCCGACUGCGAAGGCAGCAUGCC
Molecule: ribosomal RNA, 395 nt
Filed under: uncultured bacterium
Lineage: Bacteria
Description: partial 16S ribosomal RNA
Rfam family: Bacterial small subunit ribosomal RNA
Source: RNAcentral